Molecule: ribosomal RNA, 253 nt
Filed under: uncultured bacterium
Lineage: Bacteria
Description: partial 16S ribosomal RNA
Rfam family: Bacterial small subunit ribosomal RNA
Source: RNAcentral
GACGAAGGGUGCUAGCGUUGUUCGGAAUCACUGGGCGUAAAGGGCGCGUAGGCGGGCUGUUAAGUUGGGGGUGAAAGCCUUCGGCUCAACCCGAGAAGUGCCUUUGAGACUGGUGGACUAGAGCGAGAGAGGGGCAUGUGGAACUGCCAGUGGAGCGGUGAAAUGCGUUGAUAUUGGAAGGAACGCAGGUGGCGAAAGCGACGUGCUGGAUCUGUUCUGACGCUGAGGCGCGAAAGCGAGGGGAGCAAACGGG